Molecule: non-coding RNA, 3588 nt
Organism: Prunus avium (sweet cherry)
Lineage: Eukaryota; Viridiplantae; Streptophyta; Magnoliopsida; Rosales; Rosaceae
Source: RefSeq, a predicted model, not a curated record
AACAGGUCAUACCUGUCAUAAUGGAGAGUGAAAUUUCAGAAAAUUGGACAUCGCAAUUUCCUCAGAUCUUCGCAGCUGAACGCAGCAAAUUGAAACCCUAGUUUUACUAAUCCACCAUAGUCAUCUUCAUCAGGAAAUUGAGUGGAAAUGCAGCACGCUCCAGCGACGAUCGAGGAACAGUUGUUACUAAAAGCAAUCAAAGAAGAAUGUCCGUGGGAGAAUCUCCCAAAACGGCUUCAAGUGACAUUGUCUUCGAAAGAAGAAUGGCAUAGAAGGGUAAUUGAGCAUUGCAUAAAGAAAAGACUCCCAUGGAGCACUUGUUUUGCUCGAAAAGUAUGCAAAGAAAGUGAAUAUUAUGAAGACAUGAUGCGGUACUUGAGAAAGAAUUUAGCGCUAUUUCCCUAUCACCUUGCGGAGUAUGUUUGCCGUGUAAUGCGGGUAUCGCCUUUCAGAUAUUACUGUGAUAUGAUUUUUGAGGUUAUGAAAAAUGAACAACCUUAUGACAGCAUCCCCAAUUUUAGCGCUGCAGAUGCCUUGCGGCUUACAGGGAUAGGGAGAAACGAAUUUAUUGAUAUAAUGAAUAAGUGCAGAUCUAAGAAAAUUAUGUGGAAGCUGAACAAGUCAAUUGCAAAAGAGCUUUUACCUACACAACCCGUGGAUUUUGCAAUUGAUCCAUGGUGGGGAAUUUGUCUUGUGAAUUUCACACUGGAAGAAUUUAAGAAACUCUCGGAGGAAGAAAUGGCAACAAUAGAUAAAAUAUGUAAAGAGGAAGCAAAUUCAUAUAUCCUGUUCGAUCCUGAUAUUGUCAAGGGUCUUCACCAACGAGGAUUAAUAUACUUUGAUGUCCCUGUUUAUCCUGAUGAUCGUUUCAAAGUUUCCAGGCUUGAAGGGUUUGUUUCCAACAGGGAGCAGUCUUACGAAGAUCCUAUAGAGGAGUUACUAUAUGCAGUUUUUGUUGUUUCAAGUGAGCAUGCAACUGUUGCCGAACUGGCAACAACAUUACAGGCUGACCUUGCACAACUGCAGGCUGCUGCGUCUUUUGCAUGUCGAUUGGGAUGGGCAGUAAAAGUAUUUGAUCCAGCAUCUGUUCUUCGAGAUACAAGUUUACCUGGAUCUCCUAGAAACAGUCUCAGUGAUGAAGAUGCUUCUCGUCGUAGUAUAAGCUCAGCAAAUAUGUUUGCUGAUGGUGAUGCUAGUCUACAAGGAGAUGUUUCAGGGACAGAAAACUAUGGCCUAAGUUCUUUGCAUGAUCGCGUUGCGUUUGUUGUUGAUGCUAACAUAACAUCCUAUCUUAUGAUGGGGUCUGUUUCACCAGGUUUGAAAUCUCAUGCUGUAACGCUUUAUGAAGCGGGAAAGUUGGGUCAUGCUAGCAUUACGGAUCUUUGUAAGGAUCUGAGUACACUAGAGGGAACAAAAUUUGAAGGAGAACUACAGGAAUUUGCAAAUCAUGCAUUUAGCCUCCGUUGUGUUCUGGAAUGCCUUCAAUCAGGAGGAGUUGCAACUGAUGUGAAAACAGAUGAAGUUUGCAAUAACAUGGAUAUGAUAGCUUCAAACAACGAUGAGGCCACACUCAUAGCUGAUGUAACUUUGACUGAAAAAUCAGGUCACUUGACUGGGCAAGAAGUUGGGUUCGAUGAUGAUGUUUCUGUGAAAUCAGGGAUGCCCCAGGAAGGUUCUGUUUUGGCUGAACCUGUUAGUGAUAGAAGUGAUGAAAUAAUAAUUGGUACUUCAUCAGAAGAUAGCACCAGCUUAACUGAAGUCCCUAAAUCAGACUUGAAUCCGCAGAGUAAUGAGAAACAGGUGCGUGAUGAAGGGUCAGAUGUUGGAAAAGAAAUGUUAAAGAGGAAAAAUAAAUUCCGAGUGGAUAUCCUUCGCUGUGAAAGCUUGGCGUCUCUUGCACCAGCAACUUUAGAUCGGUUGUUUCGUCGCGACUAUGAUAUUGUUGUGUCUAUGAUUCCUCUUCCACCUUUGUCAGUACUUCCUGGACCAGCAGGUCCUUUUAAUUUUGGUCCUCCCUCUUAUUCAUGCAUGACACCUUGGAUGAAAUUAGUAUUGUACUCAACUGUGGCCUGUGGACCUCUAUCAGUUAUUCUGAUGAAAGGACAAUGUUUACGCUUGCUUCCUGCCCCACUGGCUGGUUGUGAGAAAGCCCUUUUGUGGUCUUGGGAUGGUUCUACAAUUGGAGGUUUGGGAGGCAAGUUUGAAGGAAAUCUGGUAAAGGGAAGCAUACUUUUACAUUGUUUAAAUUCACUUCUUAAAUACUCUGCCGUACUAGUGCAGCCCCUCAGUAAGUAUGACCUUGAUGAAUCUGGAAGAAUCAUCACUAUGGAUAUUCCAUUACCCCUAAAGAACUCUGAUGGUUCAGUUGCUUGCAUAGGGAAGGAAUUGGACAUGUGCGAGAAGGAAAGUUCAAAACUGAAUUCUCUGUUAGUUGAUUUGACAAGCAAGAUAGAGUUGUGGACAGUUGGCUAUAUUCGCUUGUUGAAACUUUUUAAAGAAAGAGAUUCAGAGCACUUUGCACCUGAUGAUGAGAAGUUUGAAUGGGUCCCAUUGAGUGUAGAAUUUGGGAUGCCACUGUUUAGUCCAAAAUUAUGCAAUAAUAUAUGUAAAAGAGUGGUCUCAUCGCAAUUACUUCAAAAAGAUUUACUCACUGAACAUCACGAUGCAAUGCAAAGCUUACGGAAAAGGUUGCGUGAUGUUUGUGCAGAGUACCAAGCAACAGGUCCUGCUGCUAAACUUAUUUACCAGAAAGAGCAAUCAAAGGACUUUUCACGACAUCUCAUGAAUUAUGCAAGUGGAAGGUGGAAUCCACUUGUCGAUUCUUCUUCUCCCAUUUCAGGAGCCUCGAGUGAGCAUCAGAGACUCAAACUUGCUAACCGACAUCGUUCCCGAACUGAAGUUUUGAGCUUUGAUGGAAGCAUUCUAAGAUCAUAUGCUCUAUCUCCUGUUUAUGAGGCUGCCACAAGGCCUGUUGAAGAAGCCCCUCCAGUUAGCACUACAAAAGUUGAGCAAGAAGAAGCUGACAGCAGAGAAGUAGUCCUUCCUGGUGUUAAUCUUGUUUUUGAUGCCUCUGAGUUGCACCCCUUCGAGAUAGGUGCUUGUCUACAGGCUCGUCAACCAGUCUCAUUAAUAGCAGAGGCAGCAGCUGCCUCUGCAGUUAUUCAACAAAGUAGGGCUUCAUGAUAGAAUCUUGCUUGGAUGGCAUAUAUAGAAGAAUUCAUCACGUUACUAGUGAGUAACAAUUAGGAAUUGUCAUGUCCUUCACGCUUGUUUUAUUCUGAUUAGUUGGCUCGUCUGCUCAUCUUUGAGGUUGGUCAAUGCGCAUCAGCUACAGCUUUGUUCAAAGACUUUGUGAGACUUUGUGAGACAACUUUAUGUUGAAGUGCAUGGGCCCUCAUUUGAAAAAAAAGAAGAUUAAAUUAAAAUUCUUUGCUGUCAUCAAGUGCAAAGCUCUUGAGUUGAGCAUCUGAAAACAUUAUUUUUUGUCUAUGAAGUAGUACUGACUGGAAAGGUUUUCCUUUCUGAAACUGACUACCUCUGUAAGUUUUCCCCUCUUGCUUUGCCCAAUAUUGAUUCAUAUUUUAUUAC